GAGACCUCAGGUCAGGCGGGGCUACCCGCUGAGUUUAAGCAUAUCAAUAAGCGGAGGGAAG
RNAcentral lists this ribosomal RNA (61 nucleotides) under Muelleranthus trifoliolatus. RNAcentral's name for it is "partial 26S ribosomal RNA". The record is from RNAcentral. Lineage: Eukaryota; Viridiplantae; Streptophyta; Magnoliopsida; Fabales; Fabaceae.